Molecule: ribosomal RNA, 521 nt
Filed under: uncultured Oxalobacteraceae bacterium
Lineage: Bacteria; Pseudomonadati; Pseudomonadota; Betaproteobacteria; Burkholderiales; Oxalobacteraceae
Description: bacterial SSU rRNA
Rfam family: Bacterial small subunit ribosomal RNA
Source: RNAcentral
AGAGUUUGAUCCUGGCUCAGUAAGUCGUAACAAGGUAACCAGUAGAGUUUGAUCCUGGCUCAGAUUGAACGCUCCCCCGCAUGCCUUACACAUGCAAGUCGAACGGCAGCACGGACUUCGGUCUGGUGGCGAGUGGCGAACGGGUGAGUAAUAUAUCGGAACGUACCCAGAAGUGGGGGAUAACGUAGCGAAAGUUACGCUAAUACCGCAUACGAUCUACGGAUGAAAGUGGGGGACCGCAAGGCCUCAUGCUUUUGGAGCGGCCGAUAUCUGAUUAGCUAGUUGGUAGGGUAAUGGCCUACCCACCCCGACGAUCAGUAGCUGGUCUGAGAGGACGACCAGCCACACUGGAACUGAGACACGGUCCAGACUCCUACGGGAGGCAGCAGUGGGGAAUUUUGGACAAUGGGCGCAAGCCUGAUCCAGCAAUGCCGCGUGAGUGAAGAAGGCCUUCGGGUUGUAAAGCUCUUUUGUCAGGGAAGAAACGGCUGAGGCUAAUAUCCUCGGCUAAUGACGUACCU